Hipposideros armiger (great roundleaf bat) is the source of this 313-nucleotide long non-coding RNA. RefSeq lists it as uncharacterized. The record is from RefSeq and is a predicted model, not a curated record. The transcript is spliced from 3 exons. NCBI's taxonomy places the organism in Eukaryota, Metazoa, Chordata, Mammalia, Chiroptera, Hipposideridae.
GCCCGCCAACUGUAUUUACUGGAAAAAAAACCCUACAAAACAAACAAAAAAACCCCUAUAAAUAGACGCGGCAGUUCAAACCAGUUUUGUUCAAGGGUCAACUGCAGUUACAGAUUCGACUUUCUGACAGGGAAAAAAGUUGGAGUCGCUCAGAAUUUUCAUGGUGUUGAGAUAAUGUUUGUGGAUGAACACACAGGAUUCUUAUUUCAGGUCACAGUUUAAAGAUGACCUCCAGGAGGCUUUUCCUGAUUACCCCAUCUAAAGUGGUGCUUUUGUGUCUUGUUUUUCCCAAUGUCUUGAAGAAAUCAGGUAG